CAGUGUGUAGCCGAGCUGGCUAGUGCACUUAGUCUCCACCCAAGGGAUCCUGGGUUCAAGUCCCACGUAGACUUU
Molecule: transfer RNA, 75 nt
Filed under: Hordeum vulgare
Lineage: Eukaryota; Viridiplantae; Streptophyta; Magnoliopsida; Poales; Poaceae
Description: tRNA-Gly
Source: RNAcentral